Long non-coding RNA from Gavialis gangeticus (Gharial), 676 nucleotides. RefSeq lists it as uncharacterized. The record is from RefSeq and is a predicted model, not a curated record. NCBI's taxonomy places the organism in Eukaryota, Metazoa, Chordata, Crocodylia, Gavialidae. The transcript is spliced from 2 exons.
GCAAUGUGUUUAAUGCAGAAAGAAGGAAAAAUUAACAAAGCACUUACAUGGCUACUUUUUAAAAAACGUUAAACAUGUCUUCCAUACAGGAACUCAUUUUUUCCUCUAAAGCAAUUAACAUAUUUAAAGCUACAGCAAUACAAUAGCAUCUUAGGAAUAUGCUGCUCAUGGCAUCAACUGCAUCACUGAAAGUCCUUCAGGGCAGUUCUUUGUGUUACUAUUAUUUGAAUACCCAAACCUGCCGAGACACAGGUGUUUGAAACCAGCAGUCUCUCUGACUUGGCACACGCCUUCAAAUGGAUGGAACAUCAGGAUGUAACAACAGAAACACAGAAGGCUGGCAGUAAUUAGGACUGACCUGUAAAAUAAGAUGGGGAGCUCAUCUCUGCGUGUGUGGAUGUUCCUGUCUUUCUGGCUACAGACACAACCAAGAGUGCUUUUGAGCUGGCUAGCGUGCUUUUGGCAUUCUAUGCAUCCGAUGGAGGUCUUUUAUGUGCCACAGGCUGCAAAGAUUCAAUGUUUGAAGUUCUCUGAACCUGGGAAGUGCUAUACAGAGAGAAAGUUCUAAUCUCUCUUUUUUUAUCUUCCUGGUCAUUUCUGGAAGAUACAGCAAAAGCUGCAGGUAUCAUGAUAGAUCUGUUUUCCUCACCUGCAUCCAGCCAUGCUAGACUACUUU